This 108-nucleotide ribosomal RNA is filed under the name Acanthosepion pharaonis. Lineage: Eukaryota; Metazoa; Mollusca; Cephalopoda; Sepiida; Sepiidae. The record is from RNAcentral.
UACAGCCAUAUCACAUUGAAGCACCAUUUCUCAUAUGAUCACCAGAGUUAAGCAAUGUCAAGCCUGGUCAGUACCUAGAUGGGUAACCACUUGGGAAUACCAGGUGCU